GAGUUUGAUUCUGGCUCAGGAUGAACGCUGGCGGCGUGCCUAACACAUGCAAGUCGAGCGCGGUUGUGCUUAGUAUUGAGUGUUUUAUUGAUAUAAAACAUUGAAUUCUAUGCACAACUGAGCGGCGGACGGGUGAGUAACGCGUGGGUAACCUGCCCUAUACACAUGGAUAACAUACUGAAAAGUUUACUAAUACAUGAUAAAAUAGUUUUUCGGCAUCGAAGAAUUAUCAAAGUGUUAGCGGUAUAGGAUGGACCCGCGUCUGAUUAGCUAGUUGGUGAGAUAACUGCCCACCAAGGCGACGAUCAGUAGCCGACCUGAGAGGGUGAUCGGCCACAUUGGAACUGAGACACGGUCCAAACUCCUACGGGAGGCAGCAGUGGGGAAUAUUGCACAAUGGGCGCAAGCCUGAUGCAGCAACGCCGCGUGAACGAUGAAGGUCUUCGGAUCGUAAAGUUCUGUUGCAGGGGAAGAUAAUGACGUACCCGNGAGCC
Molecule: ribosomal RNA, 494 nt
Filed under: Peptostreptococcus sp. canine oral taxon 033
Lineage: Bacteria; Bacillati; Bacillota; Clostridia; Peptostreptococcales; Peptostreptococcaceae
Description: bacterial SSU rRNA
Rfam family: Bacterial small subunit ribosomal RNA
Source: RNAcentral